AUACAGUGAAACCUGUCCAAACCGAACACCCACGGGACUUUGCGUUUUGUUCGGUUUUCACAGGUGUUCGGAUUGUAGAGGUAAACGGAAGUCGACACCAAAAUAAUUUUGGCAUUUACUGACGAGGGAUAAUAGGUGACACAACAGACGACAGUUUAUUUUUGUGUUGAUUUAGAUGUAAAUGUAAAAAUAAAAGAAGAUG
Molecule: long non-coding RNA, 202 nt
Filed under: Mytilus galloprovincialis (Mediterranean mussel)
Lineage: Eukaryota; Metazoa; Mollusca; Bivalvia; Mytilida; Mytilidae
Source: RNAcentral